CCUACGGGAGGCAGCAGUGGGGAAUUUUGGACAAUGGGCGCAAGCCUGAUCCAGCCAUGCCGCGUGUGGGAAGAAGGCCUUCGGGUUGUAAACCACUUUUGUCAGGGAAGAAACGGUCUGAACUAAUACUUUGGACUAAUGACGGUACCUGAAGAAUAAGCACCGGCUAACUACGUGCCAGCAGCCGCGGUAAUACGUAGGGUGCAAGCGUUAAUCGGAAUUACUGGGCGUAAAGCGUGCGCAGGCGGCUUUGCAAGACAGAUGUGAAAUCCCCGGGCUCAACCUGGGAACUGCAUUUGUGACUGCAUGGCUAGAGUACGGUAGAGGGGGAUGGAAUUCCGCGUGUAGCAGUGAAAUGCGUAGAUAUGCGGAGGAACACCGAUGGCGAAGGCAAUCCCCUGGACCUGUACUGACGCUCAUGCACGAAAGCGUGGGGAGCAAACAGGAUUAGAUACCCUGGUAGUCCACGCCCUAAACGAUGUCAACUGGUUGUUGGGAGGGUUUCUUCUCAGUAACGAAGCUAACGCGUGAAGUUGACCGCCUGGGGAGUACGGCCGCAAGGUUGAAACUCAAAUGAAUUGACGGCUGAGAGNGCGAGACGACGACGAGGGAGGAGG
This 617-nucleotide ribosomal RNA is filed under the name uncultured bacterium. Its description in RNAcentral is "bacterial SSU rRNA". It matches the Rfam family "Bacterial small subunit ribosomal RNA", at positions 338 to 948 of the family's 1533-position model. The record is from RNAcentral.